This 480-nucleotide ribosomal RNA is filed under the name uncultured bacterium. RNAcentral's name for it is "bacterial SSU rRNA". It matches the Rfam family "Bacterial small subunit ribosomal RNA", at positions 29 to 484 of the family's 1533-position model. The record is from RNAcentral.
AACUAACGCUGGCGGCGUGCCUAACACAUGCAAGUCGUACGAGAAAGCCGGCUUCGGCUGGUGAGUAAAGUGGCGCACGGGUGAGUAACGCGUGGAUAAUCUGCCCUUAAGUGUGGAAUAACGUACCGAAAGGUGCGCUAAUACCGCAUAAUGCCUGGCAACACAAGUUGUCCGGCCAAAGAAGGCCUCUGUUUACAAGCUUUCGCUUCAGGAUGAGUCCGCGUACCAUUAGCUUGUUGGUGGGGUAAUGGCCUACCAAGGCUGCGAUGGUUAGCUGGUCUGAGAGGAUGAUCAGCCACACUGGAACUGAGACACGGUCCAGACUCCUACGGGAGGCAGCAGUGAGGAAUAUUGCGCAAUGGGGGCAACCCUGACGCAGCAACGCCGCGUGAGUGAGGAAGGUUUUCGGACUGUAAAGCUCUGUCGAGCGGGAAGAAGUGUACCAUGGCUAAUAUCCAUGAUAUUUGACGGUACCGCUAG